This is a small nuclear RNA of Leptonychotes weddellii (Weddell seal), 104 nucleotides long. The record is from RefSeq and is a predicted model, not a curated record. Lineage: Eukaryota; Metazoa; Chordata; Mammalia; Carnivora; Phocidae.
GUGCUCAAUUUGUCAGCACAUAUACUAAAAUGGGAACAAUACAGAAAAGAUUAGCAGGGCCCUGUGCAAAGAUGACACAAAUUCAUGAAGUGUUCCAUAUUUUU